CUAUGCGCCUUGCCCAGCCCGCUCAGAAACUCAAAGGAAUUGACGGGGGCCCGCACAAGCGGUGGAGCACGUGGUUUAAUUCGAAGCAACGCGAAGAACCUUACCAAGACUUGACAUCCCCUGACAGCUGUUGAAAGGCAGUGUCUCUUCGGAGCAGGGAGACAGGUGGUGCAUGGUUGUCGUCAGCUCGUGUCGUGAGAUGUUGGGUUAAGUCCCGCAACGAGCGCAACCCUUAUCCUUAGUUACCAGCACGUAAAGGUGGGGACUCUAGGGAGACCGCCGGGGACGACUCGGAGGAAGGUGGGGACGACGUCAAAUCAUCAUGCCCCUUAUGUCUUGGGCUACACACGUGCUACAAUGGCCGCAACAGAGGGAAGCGAGAGCGCAAGCUGGAGCAAAACCCUAAAAAGCGGUCCCAGUUCGGAUUGUGGGCUGCAACCCGCCCACAUGAAGUCGGAGUUGCUAGUAAUCGCGAAUCAGCAUGUCGCGGUGAAUGCGUUCCCGGGCCUU
Molecule: ribosomal RNA, 510 nt
Filed under: uncultured Lachnospiraceae bacterium
Lineage: Bacteria; Bacillati; Bacillota; Clostridia; Lachnospirales; Lachnospiraceae
Description: bacterial SSU rRNA
Rfam family: Bacterial small subunit ribosomal RNA
Source: RNAcentral